This 460-nucleotide ribosomal RNA is filed under the name uncultured bacterium. RNAcentral describes it as "partial 16S ribosomal RNA". It matches the Rfam family "Bacterial small subunit ribosomal RNA", at positions 338 to 795 of the family's 1533-position model. The record is from RNAcentral.
CCUACGGGUGGCAGCAGUGAGGAAUAUUGGUCAAUGGGCGGAAGCCUGAACCAGCCAAGUAGCGUGCAGGAUGACGGCCCUACGGGUUGUAAACUGCUUUUAUACGGGAAUAACGCGCCUUACGUGUAGGGCUUUGCAUGUACCGUAUGAAUAAGGACCGGCUAAUUCCGUGCCAGCAGCCGCGGUAAUACGGAAGGUCCGGGCGUUAUCCGGAUUUAUUGGGUUUAAAGGGAGCGUAGGCGGGUUGUCAAGCGUGUUGUGAAAUGUCCGGGCUCAACCCGGGACUUGCAGCGAGUACUGGCGUGCUUGAGUCCGCGGAAGGCAGGCGGAAUUCGUCGUGUAGCGGUGAAAUGCUUAGAUAUGACGAAGAACCCCGAUUGCGAAGGCAGCCUGCUGCAGCGGAACUGACGCUGAUGCUCGAAAGCGCGGGUAUCGAACAGGAUUAGAUACCCGGGUAGUC